RNAcentral lists this ribosomal RNA (259 nucleotides) under Salmonella enterica subsp. enterica serovar Infantis. RNAcentral's name for it is "partial 23S ribosomal RNA". It matches the Rfam family "Bacterial large subunit ribosomal RNA", at positions 2672 to 2925 of the family's 2925-position model. Lineage: Bacteria; Pseudomonadati; Pseudomonadota; Gammaproteobacteria; Enterobacterales; Enterobacteriaceae. The record is from RNAcentral. RNAcentral also lists the same sequence under 3 other names.
CUGCUCCUAGUACGAGAGGACCGGAGUGGACGCAUCACUGGUGUUCGGGUUGUCAUGCCAAUGGCACUGCCCGGUAGCUAAAUGCGGAAGAGAUAAGUGCUGAAAGCAUCUAAGCACGAAACUUGCCCCGAGAUGAGUUCUCCCUGAGACUUAAAGUCUCCUGAAGGAACGUUGAAGACGACGACGUUGAUAGGCCGGGUGUGUAAGCGCAGCGAUGCGUUGAGCUAACCGGUACUAAUGAACCGUGAGGCUUAACCUU